GGGUCAGUAGGUUGGUCGUGCCACCGGUACGUACUGUUCUCACUGAUUCCUCCUUCCUGAAGAACCGUAAUGCCAUUAAUUUGGUGUUGCGGGGAAACAGGACUGUUACUUUGAAAAAAUUAGAGUGUUUAAAGCAAGCUAACGCUUGAAUAAAUUAGCAUGGAAUAAUGAAAUAGGACGAUCGAUCCUAUUUUGUUGGUUUCUAGGAUUGACGUA
Molecule: ribosomal RNA, 216 nt
Filed under: Glomeromycotina sp.
Lineage: Eukaryota; Fungi; Glomeromycota
Description: partial small subunit ribosomal RNA
Rfam family: Eukaryotic small subunit ribosomal RNA (bases 37-216)
Source: RNAcentral